UACGAAGGGGGCUAGCGUUGUUCGGAAUCACUGGGCGUAAAGCGCACGUAGGCGGAUUGUUAAGUCGGGGGUGAAAUCCUGGAGCUCAACUCCAGAACUGCCUUCGAUACUGGCGAUCUCGAGUUCGGGAGAGGUGAGUGGAACUGCGAGUGUAGAGGUGAAAUUCGUAGAUAUUCGCAAGAACACCAGUGGCGAAGGCGGCUCACUGGCCCGAUACUGACGCUGAGGUGCGAAAGCGUGGGGAGCAAACAGG
Molecule: ribosomal RNA, 253 nt
Filed under: uncultured bacterium
Lineage: Bacteria
Description: partial 16S ribosomal RNA
Rfam family: Bacterial small subunit ribosomal RNA
Source: RNAcentral